Molecule: non-coding RNA, 43 nt
Organism: Schistosoma haematobium
Lineage: Eukaryota; Metazoa; Platyhelminthes; Trematoda; Strigeidida; Schistosomatidae
Source: Rfam
AUUCAUUUGACGAGUCCCAAAUAGGACGAAACGCAUCACGGAU